This 379-nucleotide ribosomal RNA is filed under the name Clostridia bacterium. RNAcentral describes it as "partial 23S ribosomal RNA". It matches the Rfam family "Bacterial large subunit ribosomal RNA", at positions 2544 to 2925 of the family's 2925-position model. The record is from RNAcentral. Lineage: Bacteria; Bacillati; Bacillota; Clostridia.
AUCCUGGAGCUGAAGUAGGUUCCAAGGGUUUGGCUGUUCGCCAAUUAAAGCGGUACGCGAGCUGGGUUCAGAACGUCGUGAGACAGUUCGGUCCCUAUCUGUCGCGGGCGCAGGAUAUUUGAGGGGAUCUGUCCUUAGUACGAGAGGACCGGGAUGGACGAACCUAUGGUGUACCAGUUGUCACGCCAGUGGCACAGCUGGGUAGCCAAGUUCGGAAGGGAUAAACGCUGAAGGCAUCUAAGCGUGAAACCCACCCCAAGAUGAGAUAUCCCACCGAAAGGGUAAGACCCCAUGUAGACUACAUGGUAGAUAGGCCAGGUGUGUAAGCGCAGUAAUGUGUUUAGCUGACUGGUACUAAUCGGUCGAGGGCUUGACCUAA